AGUUUUAUAGUUUAAUUAAAAAUAUUAAAUUGCAAAUUUAAAGAUAGUUAUUUUUUUAUCUUAAGGCUU
RNAcentral lists this transfer RNA (69 nucleotides) under Onthophagus clypeatus. RNAcentral describes it as "tRNA-Cys". The record is from RNAcentral. Lineage: Eukaryota; Metazoa; Arthropoda; Insecta; Coleoptera; Scarabaeidae.